This is a long non-coding RNA of Heterocephalus glaber (naked mole-rat), 3863 nucleotides long. NCBI's taxonomy places the organism in Eukaryota, Metazoa, Chordata, Mammalia, Rodentia, Bathyergidae. The record is from Ensembl.
CGAACGCUUCCUUGCACGUGCCUAGGGGAAUUUGAAACAGAAAGAAUUCGUUUCCCUUCUCUCCAACUUUUCCUCCAAAUGUUGCCUCCCGGAGCGCCCUGCUUUGAGCUGUGAGGCUGGAGAACAGCGGGGAGCAAGGAGGCCCGGCCUGGCCGCCCUUCACCGCCCCAGGCCGGCGGUGCCCAACCCCGCCCUGCUGCAGCAGCGGCCGGGCUCCGCUCCAAAGGCCGCGCAGUGCCGCCGAACGGAGAGCGCCUCUCGUCCGCGCCCGGACAGGCCGGCCGCAAGGUCGGGGCUGAGACAGAGCGACCACCACGGCUGGAGGCCUGGAGGAGGAGGAGGAGGAGGACCGGGUAGGGGCGCUCGGGCGCACUCCGGCUCUGCCUCUCGUCCCGGAGCCCCGACUUGGCCCCCGCUGUCACCCGCAGACGUGCGCGGCGCCCCCAGGCCUCGGCGCGGCCGUGCGGACAUCGGCCCCGGGGCAAGGUGGCCACCGAGGAUCCGAACACGGCUUUCUCUAAAUGCCGCCGACACAGUGCCUUAAGAGUGCUCCGCUUCUCUGCGAACCUGCAGACGCCUUCCCGGUGGAUUCUGGACCCCGCCCCGCCCGCGAUCCCCUCGGUUCCGAAGCCGCGAGCCGCGCAGAGGGACUACACGCAGCCAGCGAGGGGAGGCACCCAUCUGGGCCGGGCUGCGGAUGCAGAUCUGGACGCUGAGACCCCGCCCCGAAAGAUGAGGCUGCGCCCCGCCCGGCCGCGAGCAGGAGGAGCCAAGGGUCCCAGCCGCAGCGCACGGCCAAGGCCGGGACCCGAGGGCAGCCACGUCCCAGUCCGCAAGCCGAGAAACGGACAAGGAGUGAAGCGAUCCCGGUCACGCCCACCGAAGGGUACGCCCUCGGCCACACCCCACCCACGGCCGGCCUCUCGGCCUCCCUCGCCCCGCCCAUAGCCGGCCCCGCGCACGCGCAGCUGGGGCCUCGGUCCGCCCCAGGACGCACCCGGACACCUCCGGCUUUCGGGCCUGUGCUCUUCCCGGGCUAGCUGGAUGUCACCUCCCUUUCUGUUCCCUUGCCCUCCUUCCUCCCAGCACCUGACUCUCGUAAUAAAAGAAUAGAAAGAGAAAAACAAGUGUAUGAACGUGUGUCUCAUGUACAGAAAGGGAGAUGCCAGGAAAUGAGUCAUUCUUAAAGACGCGGAGGGCUUGGAACUCCAGUUUGUACGGCAUCGUCAGAAAACAAAAUUUGGGGCGCGAUGACGACGCCAGGAAAACCUCGGGUUUCCAGGGACAGCCAGAUGACUCGGCCCGGGACCUGCGGCCUCCGGCAGCCCCAGCACGCCUCGCUGCGACUCCGCUCCGCGCUGAGAACGGCUAGGGCUUCGAGGGCAAAGGCCCAGGUUUCCAGGGGCGACUCCCCCCGUGAGGCCGAGGUGGACGAUCUCGAGGCUGAGGGCAGCAGUGCAGUCUCGCUCCCCCCUUCCUGGGUAAAACACGCUAUCCGGCUUCCCCAGAAACAGGACCAGUGAGGUACAGGUAGCCUAUUCGGUGGGACUCCCGGGAAACAGAAACCAUAGCCUAUUCGGUCGUGCUGAGAGUGGCGGGUUAGAGACAACUGGGAUCAGGGUGCGACGCCGCUGGAUUCCUUCAGAGCGGAAAGCUGUUACCUCAGGGCAGCCGGGAAGCGGAGCACGGAAGAGCCAGGGAGGGCCUCAGGGUGGCGCUGCAGCCCAGCUGGAGGGUCGAGAUGUACCCUUCGAAGACAACCGCACGCAGUGCCCACCUCAUCCAACUAGGCUGCACUGCCCAGUGAGCCCACUGAGCUAUUAAUCUACCACGAAGUGACCCACGUGGUGAGGUGGAGCCUCAGAUCCAUUCAGUUACUCAGAAUUCCACUGGCCACAACAGGACCCCCUGCACUACGGGGCUUUGGGGGGACAUUUGGAUUCCAGCCGUAAGAGAUAGAGAAGAAAACAGACUUAGAGGCGGAUGGAUUUUAAGAACUUGGUCUAAACAAUUGUGGAGGUGGAGAGGUUCAAAACCUGUGGAGCAGGUUUAGCAAUCUGCAAUCUAAGUGAGCUGAUGCGGCAGUCCAUUCCGCAUUCCACGGGGCAUGGAGCUGGAGACCCAGGCGCUCUUCCUGUCUGAGUUCUGAGAGAGCCUUCUUCCUCGCAGAGCUUUGCCCUCCGGGGCUUCCCAAUAACCACAUGUCCUCAAAGCCUGCUGAUGCAAAUGCUCAUCAAAUCUUUAAAAGCAGAUACCUCCCCAAGAACUUCUAGACCAAGCAACUGGUUGCUGCAGUCCGACCACGCAUGCUCAUGCGAAACGCCCAGGACCUCAGGCCGACCCGGUCGCUCAGAGCCGCCUGUCCACGUAUUUGGCCACCAUCUUGGUUUCCUUGCUUUUGUUCAUCGCUGGAUUUUCCCCAAACCCCUAAUAAAACGCAUCUGUCCACCCAAGAACCAAAGCCUGUAGAGGAUGGAGCCCCUCCUCGGUAGGCAGCUUAGCGGAUGAACAGGAGGGGGCUGCAAAGCGUCAGUCUCCCUUUUGCCUUUGAGACCCGGAUCUCACCACUCUCCCCAAGGUUCCUCCUGCCUGGCCUGGCCAAACCCAAGGAGCUGCCGCAGCCAAGUGUGUGUCUGUCGCAUCCCCUGAGGGCGGCCCAGCGUCUUACAAAAGUUGCUUUGCUGUCCUUUGCUAGUUUUAAAAAUUAGGCUCCAGUCCGGGGCCUCCAGACUGCCCUGUGCUCCACCUGAACCCCACAGGGGUGUGGACAGCUCCUGGUGACAGAUGAGGGCUCCUGCUGGGGGUCCCCUGGUGAUUCUGCCCUUGGGCUCAUCCUUCCCAGGCACAGACAGGUAGGUGAUGGAAGCAGAUUGCUUUGCACGCUGUGAGGCUUUGAGGAUCGAAAUCGGAUAGGUCUGCUUGGGGAAGGAAGUGAGCAGGUUUCCUGGGCCAGGCACAGCCCCUGAGCUAUGGCCAGGGUCUGGGUCGGCCGAACCCUACAGCGCCCUGCAGAGCAGACCUCGAUCCUGGGGUCCGCAGGGAGGGGACCGUCAGACCCAAACCCAGGGAGCUUAGCUGACUUCCACUCAGGAGUUUAAAAGAAGCACCGAGUGUGGGAGAGGUAACGCCCAGAAAGUGACUGAGCAACUCGGGAUUAUUUCCAAAGUGCAGAGCAGCUGUGAGGUUUAUAAAACCACUGCCGAAACCCAGGAUUGAACCAGGGACCUUUACAUCUUCAGUCUAACACUCUCCCAACUGAGCUAUUCCAGCUGCACCCCAGUGGCCCAUUCUUCUAUGUAUUACAAUGAAGCAUUUGUUUUAUAGCACCGGAAGAGCUCAUUACGCAAGUUUAGCCGGAGGCAAACAUUUUACACCAGUUAUGGAAGAAGCGAAGGCGAGGACCUGGUUUACAGAGGAAAAACUGAUAGAUAACUACUUUUCUAAGGCUUUUAAUUGCCUUGAAAUCUUUCUCAUAUAAAAAUAAUUCAUGGGGACCCCACUCCCCGCAUUUAUAUGGACCUGUUUAAUGCUUAUAACUUCACGUCAGCCCAGAAACAGCUGGACUGCCUGGACAGCGCCGUCUGUUUAGCAGACAUUCCCUCUAGGUCUCACCUUUUCUCCUUGAUUUUAUUAUGCAGAUAUUUACAUAUAUGUGUAUAAAUGUGCUGCUCUUGUAUGAAGGCAGAUGUUACAAGGUCAAAAGUUAUGAACAUUUCAGUUAUUUUUUUACAUAUGUAAUCAAUUUGGAUACCAGAAAUGCUUAGAAGAGGAUUUGGCAUGUGCCAAGCCCUGGGUUUGAUCCUGAACAGUGUAAAAAGAGAAAAAGAAAGAAAGAAUACAACAAAACAGAAGCAAAAAGACAC